Molecule: long non-coding RNA, 418 nt
Filed under: Sinocyclocheilus grahami
Lineage: Eukaryota; Metazoa; Chordata; Actinopteri; Cypriniformes; Cyprinidae
Description: lncRNA (ENSSGRG00000043742.1)
Source: RNAcentral
AUCCAGCCCAGGGCGAGACCGACGGGAAGAGCGGCGUGAGACGGGGCACCGCGGAGAUGGCAGUGGAGGAGACGGACAGACGUCUUCACCUCUCUUUCAUCUCCCGGCUGAGUUCUUCCACCCCACCACUGCUGCAGUUCCCCAGGGCAGCCCAGCCAUCGGAGCGGCCCAGCCGGGCUCCAGACACGCAUCUCCGGCCUCAUGGGCUUCUCUCAGGUCCCCAGGGGCCAACAGCAGGGUCAUGGGCUCUCAGACGUCCCACAGUAACUCCUCGCUGGCCACGGGCAGCUCGGUGAGCAGCCUGCAGACCAUGCUGGAGGAGGGCGUCUCUACGCUACCCCUGAUCUGCAGAACCCACGUCCCUCCUCCAGAACUCAGCCAGAGAUCCCGCACUCCACAGUCUCUGCUCAACCUCCAG